RNAcentral lists this long non-coding RNA (249 nucleotides) under Hordeum vulgare. RNAcentral describes it as "long non-coding RNA (HVUL_LNC013372)". The record is from RNAcentral. Lineage: Eukaryota; Viridiplantae; Streptophyta; Magnoliopsida; Poales; Poaceae.
UCAAUUAAAACAUGUGAUGAUCACCAGAUGCCUUAUAUAAAUAUACAUCGUCGGUCUUUGUUAUUUGAAGAACAACAUUUCCUUCGUCAUCAUUGUUCUGGACUUCAUCUAUUCAUUCGUCUUCAUCGAACAUCAUACCAUCACCGGUAUUGUUCAACGAUCCCUCAUCUUCUUCAUUAUCAUCUAGUCUCGGGAAGCAUAUGAUCUCGAACAGGGCCUCUUCUCCUUCUCUGCCGGUAUUGUCCAUAG